RNAcentral lists this transfer RNA (72 nucleotides) under Sinomicrobium pectinilyticum. RNAcentral describes it as "tRNA-Arg". It matches the Rfam family "tRNA". Rfam says of the family: Transfer RNA (tRNA) molecules are approximately 80 nucleotides in length. Their secondary structure includes four short double-helical elements and three loops (D, anti-codon, and T loops). Lineage: Bacteria; Pseudomonadati; Bacteroidota; Flavobacteriia; Flavobacteriales; Flavobacteriaceae. The record is from RNAcentral.
GGCCCCGUAGUUCAAUGGAUAGAAUAGAAGUUUUCUGAACUUUAAAUCGAAGUUCGAUUCUUGGUGGGGUCA